Molecule: ribosomal RNA, 785 nt
Filed under: Bacillus altitudinis
Lineage: Bacteria; Bacillati; Bacillota; Bacilli; Caryophanales; Bacillaceae
Description: bacterial SSU rRNA
Rfam family: Bacterial small subunit ribosomal RNA
Source: RNAcentral
GAUAUGGUUGGUUAUAAAAUACAUGCAAGUCGAGCGGACAGAAGGGAGCUUGCUCCCGGAUGUUAGCGGCGGACGGGUGAGUAACACGUGGGUAACCUGCCUGUAAGACUGGGAUAACUCCGGGAAACCGGAGCUAAUACCGGAUAGUUCCUUGAACCGCAUGGUUCAAGGAUGAAAGACGGUUUCGGCUGUCACUUACAGAUGGACCCGCGGCGCAUUAGCUAGUUGGUGAGGUAACGGCUCACCAAGGCGACGAUGCGUAGCCGACCUGAGAGGGUGAUCGGCCACACUGGGACUGAGACACGGCCCAGACUCCUACGGGAGGCAGCAGUAGGGAAUCUUCCGCAAUGGACGAAAGUCUGACGGAGCAACGCCGCGUGAGUGAUGAAGGUUUUCGGAUCGUAAAGCUCUGUUGUUAGGGAAGAACAAGUGCAAGAGUAACUGCUUGCACCUUGACGGUACCUAACCAGAAAGCCACGGCUAACUACGUGCCAGCAGCCGCGGUAAUACGUAGGUGGCAAGCGUUGUCCGGAAUUAUUGGGCGUAAAGGGCUCGCAGGCGGUUUCUUAAGUCUGAUGUGAAAGCCCCCGGCUCAACCGGGGAGGGUCAUUGGAAACUGGGAAACUUGAGUGCAGAAGAGGAGAGUGGAAUUCCACGUGUAGCGGUGAAAUGCGUAGAGAUGUGGAGGAACACCAGUGGCGAAGGCGACUCUCUGGUCUGUAACUGACGCUGAGGAGCGAAAGCGUGGGGAGCGAACAGGAUUAGAUACCCUGGGUAGUCCAAUA